This 253-nucleotide ribosomal RNA is filed under the name uncultured bacterium. RNAcentral's name for it is "partial 16S ribosomal RNA". It matches the Rfam family "Bacterial small subunit ribosomal RNA", at positions 524 to 776 of the family's 1533-position model. The record is from RNAcentral.
UACGUAGGGUGCAAGCAUUAAUCGGAUUUAUUGGGCGUAAAGGACGCGUAGGCUGAUUUUCAAGUCGAAUGUGAAAUUCCGGGGCUUAACCUCGGAGCUGCAUUCGAAACUGUAAAUCUAGAGGGUAGAAGGAGAAAACGGAAUUCCACAAGUAGCGGUGAAAUGCGUAGAUAUGUGGAAGAACACCUGUGGCGAAGGCGGUUUUCUAUUUUAUUCCUGACGCUGAGGCGUGAAAGCAAGGGGAGCAAACGGG